Molecule: long non-coding RNA, 805 nt
Filed under: Homo sapiens (human)
Lineage: Eukaryota; Metazoa; Chordata; Mammalia; Primates; Hominidae
Description: long intergenic non-protein coding RNA 1340
Source: RNAcentral
AGAACUCGACUGCCAUUGAAAUGUGCAAAAGAAAAAUUUCCUGGCAUCUUAAAAAAAAUGUCGAAGUCAGUUACUCCACAAGCCCUGUUUGUAAGAGUCCUUGAAAAGAGAAGCAUCAGUUUUCCAAUAUGAAGUAAAUGGAGAAUACAGCUCAUGGAAGGUCAGAAUGUAUAAGAAUGUGUUUAUUGGAUACCUUCAAAGUCACUAAGCAUUAUGUCAUAAACAUUUUCUGAAGUCAACAUUCCGAAAACAUAGCAAAAUGAAGGCAAUUCCAAGAGUUCUUGACUGCACCUUUGAAGUUGUGGAGCACAGCUAAUGGAAAAGGCUGGAGGCAGGAGCAGGCUGGAGCAACCACAGAGGCAGAGCCAAGAGAUGGGGCAGUAGGAGAAUGUGGUUAAUGUGUCUGGAGUGGGGCGAGGUGAUUUGGAAGGUUUCUCUAGAGGCAAAUGGUAGACAGCCAUGUCAUCUUGUGUGAUCUCCCCAUGGUGGCAAGUCAAUUUUCCAGUUGUUCACGCCCCAAAUCUUGGAGUCACUCUUGACUCCAUAUCUCUUCUGUAGACUACAUCUAAUUUUGCUCCCAAUCACCUCUUUCGGGGUUGCUAUUGUAAUCCAAGUCUCCAUCAUUUCCAGUUCAAACUGAAAUUGUUGUAUGUUUGCCACUUCCUCCCCUGAUUAGUUUCAACAUAGCACUCAGAGUAGUUCUUGUAAUGUUUAACUUGAAUUAUAUCACAGCUCUGUUCAGAACUCUAUUUCCUGUGGCUUCAUGUCUUAAAGUAAAAGCAAAAGUCUUAAAAUUGGCAUAUAA